AUGAUAACUGUUGGCUUGACCUAAUCCAGAAUAUGAGUCUUCACAGGUGAAAUGCUGGCAAAUUAGACGACAGACAAAAGCUCCUCAAGGAGCUCGGCAGUGAGACAGCAGUCAAGGAUUGAUGACAUGUUUAGAACAGUUGACAUUGAUGGUGGCAGCUUCUUGGUUCGUGCUGGAGUUUAUUUGAGUC
Long non-coding RNA from Cucurbita maxima (winter squash), 190 nucleotides. RefSeq lists it as uncharacterized. The transcript has 2 exons. The record is from RefSeq and is a predicted model, not a curated record. Lineage: Eukaryota; Viridiplantae; Streptophyta; Magnoliopsida; Cucurbitales; Cucurbitaceae.